Molecule: unclassified non-coding RNA, 320 nt
Filed under: Hevea brasiliensis (rubber tree)
Lineage: Eukaryota; Viridiplantae; Streptophyta; Magnoliopsida; Malpighiales; Euphorbiaceae
Source: RNAcentral
GUGAAUUCUGCAGGCUUAAGCGCUCCAGCCAUUACAAAACGAAUGAAAGGUCUACCUGACGGUAUUUUACCUGCUUCUCAUUAUGCCCGUGGUUGCUACUUCACACUUUCAAACACUAAAUCCCCUUUCAAGCAUUUGAUUUAUCCUAUACCUGAGGUUGGCGGCCUUGGAGUGCAUGUUACCUUGGAUUUGAAUGACCAAGUCAAGUUUGGUCCUGAUGUCGAAUGGAUUAAAGGAAUUGAUGAUAUUCCAAGCUUCCUCAACAUGUUUGAUUACUCUGUACAUGAAGACCGUGCCAAUCAAUUCUACCCAGCAAUAAG